This 253-nucleotide ribosomal RNA is filed under the name uncultured bacterium. Its description in RNAcentral is "partial 16S ribosomal RNA". It matches the Rfam family "Bacterial small subunit ribosomal RNA", at positions 524 to 776 of the family's 1533-position model. The record is from RNAcentral.
UACGAACCGUCCAAACGUUAUUCGGAAUCACUGGGCUUACAGAGUUCGUAGGCGGCGGAGAAAGUAGGGUGUGAAAGCCCUCGGCUCAACCGAGGAACAGCGCCCUAAACUACUUUGCUUGAGGAGGCUAGGGGUGAGCAGAACAGAUGGUGGAGCGGUGAAAUGCGUUGAUAUCAUCUGGAAUACCGGAGGCGAAGGCGGCUCACUGGGACCUUUCUGACGCUGAGGAACGAAAGCUAGGGUAGCGAACGGG